UGUUGAUGGCUGGACAUUGCAUCAUCCUAGAAAACUUGGAGGCCAGUGAGGACAAAAAUAAAAAGUUAUAAGACUUUGAAAUAUGUGGAUUUUAGGGUUAUCUUUGGCGCCCCCUAGAACCUAAACCGUGGGGUGCAGCAUCAUGAUUUGAAUAACUUUUAAUGGCCAUGGGGUGUAAUUUGGCCCGAGCAAAUGUGGUGCCGGUGGAACGCCAGCCUUCGGAGGAGUUAGCGAAAUUCCAAUGUGUGCGUAUCGGCAAAAAAUGCGGAAUAACCCUUUAACCUUACAUUUGACAGAUACGCGCGUGUAGACUUUUUUGUAGAUCUUAUUGAGAUACAUGUGUGUGUCAAUUUUUGUGUCAUUUUGCCAAAGCGUACAGGUGUGACACUCAACAAUGUGUGUUUUCACCUUAGGGGACAAGAAAAAAUGGACUUUUUCUCCUGCCAUGGGGGGCGCUCUUUUGGGGAGUAAAAAUUCCUUCACAAAUGUGUUGAUGGCUGGACAUUGCAUCAUCCUAGAAAACUUGGAAGCCAGUGAGGACAAAAAUAAAAAGUUAUAAGACUUUUAAAUAUGUGGAUUUUUGGGUUAUCUUUGGCGCCCCCUAGAACAUAAACCGUGGGGUGCAGCGUCAUGAUUUGUACAACUUUUAAUGGCCAUGGGGUGUAGAUUGGCCUGAGCAAAUUUGGUGCCGGUGGAACAAAAGCUUUAGGAGGAGUUAGGCACAUUCCAAUGUGUGCGAAUCGACCAAAAAUGCGUAAUAGCCCUUUAACCGUACAUUUUACAGAUACGCGCGCAUAGACUUUUUUGUAGAUCUUAUUGAGAUACAUGUGUGUGUCAAUUUUUGUGUCAUUUUGCCAAAGCGUACAGGCGUGACACUCAACAAUGUGUAUUUUCACCUUAGGAGACAAGAAAAAAUGGACCUUUUUCUCCUGCCAUGGGGGGCGCUCUUUUGGGGAGUAAAAAUUCCUUCACAAAUGUGUUGAUGGCUGGACAUUGCAUCAUCCUAGAAAACUUGGAGGCCAGUGAGGACAAAAAUAAAAAGUUAUAAGACUUUGAAAUAUGUGGAUUUUAGGGUUAUCUUUGGCGCCCCCUAGAACCUAAACCGUGGGGUGCAGCAUCAUGAUUUGAAUAACUUUUAAUGGCCAUGGGGUGUAAUUUGGCCCGAGCAAAUGUGGUGCCGGUGGAACGCCAGCCUUCGGAGGAGUUAGCGAAAUUCCAAUGUGUGCGUAUCGGCAAAAAAUGCGGAAUAACCCUUUAACCUUACAUUUGACAGAUACGCGCGCGUAGACUUUUUUGUAGAUCUUAUUGAGAUACAUGUGUGUGUCAAUUUUUGUGUCAUUUUGCCAAAGCGUACAGGUGUGACACUCAACAAUGUGUGUUUUCACCUUAGGGGACAAGAAAAAAUGGACUUUUUCUCCUGCCAUGGGGGGGCGCUCUUUUGGGGAGUAAAAAUUCCUUCACAAAUGUGUUGAUGGCUGGACAUUGCAUCAUCCUAGAAAAACUUGGAAGCCAGUGAGGACAAAAAUAAAAAGUUAUAAGACUUUUAAAUAUGUGGAUUUGAGGGUUAUUUUUGGCGCCCCCUAGAACCUAAACCGUGGGGUGCAGCGUCAUGAUUUGAAUAACUUUUAAUGGCCAUGGGGUGUAGAUUGGCCUGAGCAAAUGUGGUGCCGGUGGAACGAAAGCCUUCAGAGGAGUUAGCGAAAUUCCAAUGUGUGCGGAUCGGGAAAAAAUGUGAAAUAACCCUUUAACCGUACAUUUGACAAAUACGCCCGCACUGACUUUUUUGUAGAUCUUAUUGAGAUACAUAUGUGUGUCAAUUUUUGUGUCAAUAUGACAAAGCGUACAGGCGUGACAGUCAAUAGUGUGAAUUUACACCUUAGGGGGCGCUAUGGAGCCAUUUUGCAUUUUAUUGUUCGGGCGACUUCAGUAUAUCGAAUUUUUCACCAGGCCCGGUCGUCCUGCCAAAUUUCAUGAGUUUUCGCCAGUGGGAAGUGGGCCAUUUUCCAGUUCAAAGGGGAGGAAAAAGAAGAAAGAAGAAACAAAGAAAAACCACUACAGGAACAACAGGGCUCUACGCCCGGCUGCUAUGCAGCUGGCUCGGGCCCUAACUAGGGCCCCGUUGGGGCACUGGCGGGCCCGAGCUGUGUCGCGCCGCCCCCAGCAAGACCGCCUCCCUGUCCCAUUCACGUCCUCAGGCUGUCGCCCUCUGUGGUGACGCCCAUCACUGCAAAGACCCUUUUCCUUCAUCGGUGUUUGCUGUUCUUCUUGCCAGUGCGUGUUGCUUCCACUUAUACUUGCCACAGCCAGCCCCCUAGAACGUAAACCGUGGGGUGCAGCGUCAUGAUUUUUACAACUUUGAAUGGCCAUGGAGUGUAGAUUGGCCUGAGCAAAUUUGGUGUCAGUGGGACGAAAGCCUUAGGAGGACUUAGCGAAAUUCCAAUGUGUGCAAAUCGCCAAAAAAUGCAAAAUAGCCCUUUAACUGUACAUUUUACACUAACGUGCCCAUUGACUUUUUCAUAGAUCUUAUGGAGAUACACGUGAUUGUCAAAUUUUUUGUCAAUAUGACAAAGCGUAAAGGCGUGACACUCAACAACGUGUAUUUUCACCUUUCGGGAUAAGAAAAAAUGGACUUUUUUCUCCUGCCAUGGGGGGGCGCUCUUUUUGGGGAGUAAAAAUUUCUUCACAAAUGUGUUGAUGGCUGGACAUUGCAUCAUCCUAAAAAACUUGGAGGCCAGUAUGGAAAAAAAUAAAAAGUUAUAAGACUUUUAAGAAUGUGGAUUUUUGGGUUAUAUUUGGUGCCCCCUUGAACCCAAACCGUGGGGUGCAGCAAGAUGAUUUGUACAACUUUUAAUGGCCAUGGGGUGUAGAUUGGCCUGAGCAAAUUUGGUGCCGGUGGAAAGAUAGCCUUCGGAGGAGUUAGCGAAAUUCCAAUGUGUGCGGAUCGGCAAAAAAUGCAAAAUAGCCCUUUAACCGUACAUUUGACAGAUACAUGCCCUCGACUUUUUCGUAGAUCUUAUUGAGAUACACGUGAUUGUCAAAUUUUGUGUCAAUAUGACAAAGCAUAUAGGCGUGACACUCGACAAUGUGUAUUUUCACCUUAGGAGACAAGAAAAAAUGGACCUUUUUCUCCUGCCAUUGGGGGGCGCUCUUUUGGGGAGUAAAAAUUCCUUAACAAAUGUGUUGAUGGCUGGACAUUGCAUCAUCCUAGAAAACUUGGAGGCCAGUGAGGACAAAAGUAAAAAGUUAUAAGACUUUUAAGAAUGUGGAUUUUUGGGUUAUCUUUGGCGCCCCCUAGAACGUAAACCGUGGGGUGCAGCGUCAUGAUUUGUACAACUUUUAAUGGCCAUGGGGGGUAGAUUGGCCUGCGCAAAUGUGGUGCCGGUCGAACGAAAGCCUUCGGAGGAGUAAGCGAAA
Non-coding RNA from Xyrichtys novacula (pearly razorfish), 3414 nucleotides. The record is from the annotation of a GenBank genome assembly. Lineage: Eukaryota; Metazoa; Chordata; Actinopteri; Labriformes; Labridae.